This 401-nucleotide ribosomal RNA is filed under the name uncultured bacterium. RNAcentral describes it as "bacterial SSU rRNA". It matches the Rfam family "Bacterial small subunit ribosomal RNA", at positions 359 to 776 of the family's 1533-position model. The record is from RNAcentral.
GAAUAUUGGACAAUGGGCGAAAGCCUGAUCCAGCCAUGCCGCGUGAGUGAUGAAGGCCCUAGGGUUGUAAAACUCUUUCAACGGUGAAGAUAAUGACGGUAACCGUAGAAGAAGCCCCGGCUACCUUCGUGCCAGCAGCCGCGGUAAUACGCAGGGGGCUAGCGUUGUUCGGAUUUACUGGGCGUAAAGGGCGCGUAGGCGGCCACCGCAAGUCGACUGUGAAAUCUCCGGGCUUAACCCGGAAAGGUCAGCCGAUACUGCGGGGCUAGAGUGCAGAAGGGGCAACUGGAAUUCUCGGUGUAGCGGUGAAAUGCGUAGAUAUCGAGAGGAACACCUGCGGCGAAGGCGGGUUGCUGGGCUGACACUGACGCUGAGGCGCGAAAGCUAGGGGAGCGAACGGG